AUUGAACGCUGGCGGCAUGCCUUACACAUGCAAGUCGAACGGCAGCGGGCCUUCGGGUGCCGGCGAGUGGCGAACGGGUGAGUAAUGCAUCGGAACGUGCCAUUGAGUGGGGGAUAACGUAGCGAAAGUUACGCUAAUACCGCAUAUUCUGUGAGCAGGAAAGCAGGGGACCGCAAGGCCUUGCGCUCUUUGAGCGGCCGAUGUCAGAUUAGCUAGUUGGUGAGGUAAAGGCUUACCAAGGCGACGAUCUGUAGCGGGUCUGAGAGGAUGAUCCGCCACACUGGAACUGAGACACGGUCCAGACUCCUACGGGAGGCAGCAGUGGGGAAUUUUGGACCAAAUGGGCGGCGA
RNAcentral lists this ribosomal RNA (351 nucleotides) under uncultured bacterium. RNAcentral describes it as "bacterial SSU rRNA". It matches the Rfam family "Bacterial small subunit ribosomal RNA", at positions 30 to 380 of the family's 1533-position model. The record is from RNAcentral.